Molecule: ribosomal RNA, 551 nt
Filed under: uncultured Azoarcus sp.
Lineage: Bacteria; Pseudomonadati; Pseudomonadota; Betaproteobacteria; Rhodocyclales; Zoogloeaceae
Description: bacterial SSU rRNA
Rfam family: Bacterial small subunit ribosomal RNA
Source: RNAcentral
UGGGGAAUUUUGGACAAUGGGGGCAACCCUGAUCCAGCCAUGCCGCGUGAGUGAAGAAGGCCUUCGGGUUGUAAAGCUCCUUCAGACGGAAAGAAAUCGGGGGUGUUAAUACCGCCCCUGGAUGACGGUACUGUCAGAAGAAGCACCGGCUAACUACGUGCCAGCAGCCGCGGUAAUACGUAGGGUGCGAGCGUUAAUCGGAAUUACUGGGCGUAAAGCGUGCGCAGGCGGUUGUGUAAGACAGGUGUGAAAUCCCCGGGCUUAACCUGGGAACUGCGCUUGUGACUGCACGGCUAGAGUACGGCAGAGGGGGGUGGAAUUCCACGUGUAGCAGUGAAAUGCGUAGAUAUGUGGAGGAACACCGAUGGCGAAGGCAGCCCCCUGGGCCGAUACUGACGCUCAUGCACGAAAGCGUGGGGAGCAAACAGGAUUAGAUACCCUGGUAGUCCACGCCCUAAACGAUGUCAACUAGUUGUUCGGAAGGGUAACUUUCUGGGUAACGCAGCUAACGCGUGAAGUUGACCGCCUGGGGAGUACGGCCGCAAGGUUAA